Molecule: ribosomal RNA, 467 nt
Filed under: uncultured bacterium
Lineage: Bacteria
Description: partial 16S ribosomal RNA
Rfam family: Bacterial small subunit ribosomal RNA
Source: RNAcentral
GACGAACGCUGGCGGCGUGCUUAACACAUGCAAGUCGAACGGAAAGGCCCUGCUUUUGUGGGGUGCUCGAGUGGCGAACGGGUGAGUAACACGUGAGUAACCUGCCCUUGACUUUGGGAUAACUUCAGGAAACUGGGGCUAAUACCGGAUAGGAGCUCCUGCUGCAUGGUGGGGGUUGGAAAGUUUCGGCGGUUGGGGAUGGACUCGCGGCUUAUCAGCUUGUUGGUGGGGUAGUGGCUUACCAAGGCUUUGACGGGUAGCCGGCCUGAGAGGGUGACCGGCCACAUGGGGACUGGGAUACGGCCCAGACUCCUACGGGAGGAAGCAGGGGGGAAUAUUGCACAAUGGGCGGAGGCCUGAUGCAGCAACGCCGCGUGCGGGAUGACGGCCUUCGGGUUGUAAACCGCUUUCGCCUGUGACGAAGCGUGAGUGACGGUAAUGGGUAAAGAAGCACCGGCUAACUACGU